UUUUUUUUUGUGGCCCAAUCAGCAACCUGGAGUACUGGAACCCUUCUGUUGAUGUGCUAGACUAUGUUGACUCUGGCACUUUCUCCUAUGCAUUCCUUGAACAACACUUGCUUUGGUUGGGAUAUCCUGUGAGUGAACACAUCAUUUAUUGGUGCAAACCAAAUAAACCAAUCUCAGAUGGUUUGAUCAGAAUUAGCAAUGAUGAGGAUGUGCAGCAUAUGAUCAGAGCUAGUGCUGAGCAUAAGAUGCUUGUAGUCAUGGUUGACCAUACAGAUUUCAUCAGUAACUUCAGGUCUGACUUUGUGUGCACAUUGCCUCUAUCUUUGAUAACAACAACAACUUUUGCAGCAGUAAGUGCAUUCUCUUCCCAUAGCCUAGUUUCAGUCUUUGUGGAAGAUCCCUUGUCAGAGAUUGCAGCAAAUGGAACAGACCCACAGAGUUCACUGACUGAGGGUGCUGAGCACAACAUGCUAACUAAAGAUGGACAAAUAGUUAUUGAAGAUGUAGUUGUUUCAGAUUCUAAUUUUAGUGACAGUGACUAUGAUAUAGAUGAUGGUGAUAAUGAUCUUUAUGAUGACAACAUUGACUUUGAUGUUGAUGAAUAAGUUGAGCAGGAGGAGGAUGAUGUGGAGCCUGACUAUUUGCUUGAGGAUGAAGAUCUGAACCUAUCAACUGAGCAAGCAGAUGAACUUAGGUACAAGUUUAAAGCUUUCAAUGCAAAGGUGGACAUGAUUUCCCCUUUGUUUAAAGUAGGGAUGGUAUUUGCUGAUGUGAUUGAGCUAAGACAUGCAUUGACUGCAUAUUCAGUUAGAAACAGAGUGCAGAUUAAGAAGAUAAAGAAUGACAAGAGGAGACUUGAGGCAGUUUGUGAAAAUGGUUGCCCAUGGUACCUGUUUGCUGGCAAUGACAACAGGACAGGGGGAUUUGACAUCAAGACUUACUAUGGAGAACAUAUAUGCCAAAAGAAAUGGAAGUUAAGGUCACUGACAACAAAAUUCCUGUGCAAGUAUUUCAUAGAUGAGUUCAGAGAUAACCAGAAUAUGUCACUAGGUACAUUUCAAGAAAGAUCACCAAGGAAUUUCAUGUCACCCCUAACAGAUGGAAGCUAGCUAGGGCAAGAACAGCAGCACUUAAGGAGAUCCAUGGUGAUGAAGAAGAGCAGUUUAGUAGGCUUUGGGAUUAUGGGCAUGAAUUGAGGAAUACCAUCCCUGGGUCUACAUUUCUUCUGUCAACUGAGGUUGUUAAAGACAACGAUUUCCCACUAGGUAGGAAAUGUCUGAAAACUCUAUAUUGGUCUUAUGAUGCAUGUAAAAGGGGGUGGCUCAAGGGAUGCAAGCCUAUUAUUUUCAUUCAUGGUUGUCACAUGAAAACUAGGUUUAAAGGAGUGUUGCUUAGUGUAGUAGGUAUUGAUCAUAAUGACUGCAUUUUCCCCAUUGCAAUGGGUUGGGUAGAAGCAAAGUACACAAGUGUUGGGGAUCGUUGCAGAAAUUAAAAAAAUUCUACGCAUCACCAAGAUCAAUCUAUGGAGUGACUAGCAACGAGAGAGAGGGGAGUGCAUCUUCAUACCCUUGAAGACCGCGAGACGGAAGCAUUACAAGAAUGCGGAUGAGGGAGUCGUACUCGAAGCGAUUCAGAUCGCGGUAGAUUCCGAUCUUAGCGCCGAACAACGGCACCUCCGUGUUCAACACACGUGCAUCCCGGUGACGUCUCCCGCGCCUUGAUCCAGCAAGGAGGAGGGAGAGGUUGAGGAAGAGGGCUCCAACAGCAGCACGACGGCGUGGUGGUGAUGGAGUGGCAGUACUCUGGCAGGGCUUUGCCAAGCUCUUGCGGAGGAGGAGAGGUGUUGGGGAGGGGAGGAGCUGCGCCUUGGAUGUGGUGCUGCAUCCCUCCCCUCGCCCCUCUAUUUAUAGGAGAAGGGGGAAGGGGGGACGGCCCCCUCUAGAUGUGAUCUAGAGGGGGGGCCAAGGGGAGGGGGCUUGCCCCCCAAGCAAAGGGGGCGCCCCCUUUAGGGUUCCCCCCCCCCAACCCUAGGCGCAUGGACCCAAGGGGGGGCGCCCAGCCCUCCAAGGGCUGGUUCCCUUCCCUCUACAGCCCAUGAGGCCCUCCGGGAGAGGUGGUGAAAGGAUCGAUAUAGUUGACUAGAGGGGGGGUGAAUAGGCAGCUAACAAUUUUUAAUCUUUUCUUUACCAAUUUAAACUUUGCAACAAGGUAGGUUGUCUAGAUAUGCAACUAUGUGAGCAACCUAUAUGAUGCAAUAACAACUAGCACAUAAGCAAGCAAGGGAUACAACACAAAUAAGCUUGCACAAGUAAAGGCACGAGAUAACCAAGAGUGGAGCCGGUGGAGACGAGGAUGUGUUACCGAAGUUCCUUCCUUUUAAGGGGAAGUGCGUCUCCGUUAGAGCGGUGUGGAGGCACAAUGCUCCCCAAGAAGCCACUAGGGCCACCGUAAUCUCCUCACGCCCUCAAACAAUGCGAGAUGCCGUGAUUCCACUAUUUGUGCCCUUGAAGGCGGCGACCGAACCUUUACAAACAAGGUUGGGGCAAUCUCCACAACUUAAUUGGAAGCUCCCAACGACACCACAAAGCUUCACCACAAUGCACUAUGGCUCCGAGGUGACCUCAAUCGUCUAGGGUGCUCAAACACCCAAGAGUAACAAGAUCCGCUAGGGAUUAGUGGGGGGAAUCAAAUUUCUCUUGGUGGAAGUGUAGAUCGGGGCCUUCUAAACCACUCCCGAGCAAAUCAACAAGUUUGAUUGGCUAGGGAGAGAGAUCGGGCGAAAAUAGAGCUUGGAGCAACAAUGGAGCUUUUGGGGGAAGAUGUAGGUCAACUUUGGGGAAGAAGACACCUUUAUAUAGAGGGGCAAACAAUCCAACCGUUACCCUCCCCCCCAAGCAGCCACGCACAGAGCGGUACUACCGCUUGGGCAGGGCGGUACUACCGAUGAACCAGCGGUACUACCGUUCCCUCCCAGCGGUACUGCCGCGCACACGAGGAUAGCAAAGACCUGGGCCCAGAGCGGUACAACCGCGGAAGUAGGGGCAGUACUACCGCUUGGAGCGGUACUACCGCCACUACUUGCGCUACUAGUACCGCAAAACCCGACAUGAAAAACAGAGGUCUCGAGUCGAGGCGGUAGUAGCCCAGAACCACAGUGGUACUACGGCCGAAGACAGCAAGCGGUACUACCGCUUGGGGAGCGGUACUACCGCUUGACGCGCUUCGGCGGUACUACCGCUGAGGACUGCAGUACUACCGCUGGGACAGGUCAGGGCAGGCAAGGAGAGGAAAGGUAGCUCCAAUGAAGCGGAAAGGAACAGCGGGUGUGAUAAGGAUGUGUACAUGUUGAUUCCACCCUAGCCUUACCAAAGCGGAUCCCCUCUUGAUAGUACGGUGACUCCUAUGAAACUAGUCCACCAACAGAGAAACAAAGGAGCUACACCGUCUUGAAUAAAACACCGAGGGGAGGGAAUCAUCUUGUGCCAAAGGAUGAAUCUCUGAAAAGCUCAACGCACACGAUUAGUUCGCAAAAGCAUUGUCAUCAAUCACCAAAACACCUUGGGGAUAAAUAUGCCCUUACAAUCUCCCCCUUUUUGGUGGAUUGAUGACAAUACGGGAUUUGCACAAACGGGGAAAGACAUAAGACAUGCGCAAAACCCCACCAUCCUAAAAUGUAGUUGGGCUCCCCCUAGAUGUGUGCUAUCUAGAUAAGUGCUUUGGACUGCACGGCACACAUACUAGGAUCAACGCUCCCCCUACAUUUUAGAGACCAACAACCUAAGCAGGGUAUAUAAGAGCAGAGUAAAUAACAUGAUAAGCAUGCAACUCAUAAGCUAGGUAGACAUAGAUAAAGAUAAUCUAAAGAUAAGGUAGCAUAUGUCUCACACCAUAGGUCUGGAACUUAGGUCUCACUGACACAAAACCAAACAAAGCAAACGGCGAAAAAACACACCACAAAGAAGACACACUCGCGAAACAGACAACGACGACACAAAUCCCUAAACUCUCUCCCCCUUUGGUAUCGAGACACCAAAAAGAGAGGGAGUGUUGCUACGGCUCCAGGUGAUAGCAAGGUCGCGAACAUCAGAUCUCAGCGGGAUCGUCUUCGCCACCGUCGUCGGUCGGGAACUGCUCGGCAUCAGAAUCUGUCCGCUGGCAAUGCUGCUGAAUCCAGUCCUCCUCCUCAGUAAGCUGGUCCUCAGAUCCACUGAGAACGGUAGCACCCAACUGACGCAUGAGCUCCUUGUGACGACCCCUGGCCUUCUUCUCAACAACAUGAGUCAUGUACUGGCCGUGAGACUCCAUGCAGAACAGCUUCUUUAUCUUGAGCUUGAGCUUCUUUGCCCAAGAGGGCUCUGCCCCAGAAGGCUCAUAGUCAUCAUCAUCCUCAGCCUCAGCCUCCUCCUCGAUCUCCAUGGCAGCAGCAGACGAUGCACCCCUAGACUUAGGGACCUGAGUGCCCCGGUUGUCCUUCUUCCUCAGACACUUGACCUCAUGAGACACCAACUCUCCAGUCUCUAGCAUAACCUUGGGAUAGACACGAUCCCAGGCCUUCUCAAUAAGUAGCAUGAUGAAUGGACCAUAGAUCGGGCACUUACGCUCAGAGAUGGCAGAUAGGAGUUUAGACCACAUAACAUGAGAGAUGUCCAGGGACUCGCCAGAGUUUUCUUCCUUCUCACGCUGGCAGAAGAGAAGCAUGUCCACAAGAUAGGAAUGAACCAUAUCCAGAUUCCCGAUGCGAGGGAAAAGAGUCUCACGGAAGACAUGGUGAAGAAUAUCCAGAAAGGCAGGCAGCUCAUAAGUUUCCUUCUUAGUCUCAGGGUUGAUCUUCAGCGUGCAAUAGGGCCAUAGAGCUUGCUUGAGAGUGGAGGUUGUGUUGCGGUGAGGGCGAAAGCCGACAGGAGACGCAAGCCCGUGAUCUUCCACCCCAAGCAACCCCAUGAACGCCUUCCACUUGACAGAAAGCAACUUGCCAUUGGUCAUCCAAGUGAGUGUCCUGUCCUCAUCAGUCCCGAGAUGAACUGUGGCAUAUAAUUGGGCCACAAUAUCAGCAUCAUAAUCUUUGUUGAAUUGCAUGAUACCGAGAAUGUUCAGUUGAGUGCACAUCUAAAGAGCUUCACCAAAGUACUCAGGAUCCUUCUCCAUAUAGUCGGUGUCGAUGGAGAGCACGUUAGCAUAGAGGUUCUUCUUGGCCUUGAGCACAUCAAAGAAUAUGGCAAACUGAAACCUGUUCCAGAACGGACGGCUGACCAAAGUGGGAUCUUGGUCUGCCUCAUAGGGGUUGCGGCGACGCCUUGCCCAUAACUCCUUGGCAUUCAUCUCCGGCACGGUUUUGCCAGUUUGCUUCGGCUUGACAGCAGACUUCUUCUUGGGUUGAGGUGGAGGUGGAGCACUUGAGGAACCUCCUGCAGACUCAGUUGUGUGGUAACGCUUUGACGUGGCACGACCGGGGUUGAUACGUCGAGCCUGAUGCUCAGGAUGUUCAUCACCUGGAACCACACACAAGAACACGCAAAACAACCAGAAAGAACAAGCAUAAGCCAACAAACACAACAAAAGGAUCACUGAAUGGUAAGAGCACGAUGGAACUUAGUAGCAAGCGGUAGUACCGCGACCUGUAAGCGACAGUACCGCUCUAGAGAGAGCGGUAGUACCGCUCGAGAUGGGGAAACAGCGGUUUCCUACUGCCGUGGUCAGAUCCGGCACUACCGUCCUACCAAAUUCAAAAAUACUUCUACCAACCACUAAUCCAAACCGCCUAGAUGCCUUCUCCAUCCUACUCAAGCCUAGAUUUGGCCAAAAAUCAAGAGAUGCAACCACUAUUGCCCCUAAGAUGCUAGAUUGGAAAUCUAGACAAGAGAGAGGGAAUGGGGGCAAUACCGGCAUCCAUGGCAAGAGGAUGAGGUGGGGAUCGACUCCACCGAAGGGAAUGGAGAGGGACGCCCCGGAGAAGGAGAUCCGCCGGAGCCCUCCCGCGGCGACAAGUUGCUGGAGAGAAGAAACGGAGCGAGGGGGCGAGCGAAUGGGUAUGGGGGAGAAGAAACCUCCCCCUGCCCCCGAUAUAACCCCCUGACCCCGCCCCGCAGCGGUAGUACCGCGCUGGUGGGCGGUAGUACCGCUUAUAAGCGGUAGUACCACGUACCACCAGCGGUAGUACCGCCCAGCAACAAACAGGCCACUAGACAGAACGGCUAAGCUCAAAAAGAAACGAAAAACAAAGGCACGAAGGAGGAAAGACCAACACGGAAGAAAACACACUAGCAAGGGGCCAAAACACACCUCUUCAAGAGAGGGCGGUGGCCGAGGCCACCUAUGUUUGAGUCAAGAGUUAUGGCGUCGCGAAGAUUUUAACCUUGGACCCAUGACCAAAACUCGUCCUUGAAGCACAAGUACCAUCAAAAAUGGUUAAUGUGAAAGACUAGAUCAAUUUAUGCAUAAUGGGGGGAGGGAGAGUUCAUUGAGAGAACAACACUCCCCCUAUGUCCAUGCCUACACCUAAACUAGACAACAAGUUGAGUGAGGUGGGGUGUGCAAGGGUUCAAGUCACAUUGCUUGAAUCAAUGAUAUUUAGCUCAUGCCUUAACUCGCGAAAUCUUGCUUCAUCCAAGGGCUUCGUGAAAAUAUCUGCAAGGUUAUCAUGAGCGUUGACAUACUUAAGCUCGAUCUCCCCUCGCCUAAUGUGAUCCCGGAUGAAGUGAUACCGAAUUUCAAUAUGCUUCGUCUUGAAGUGUUGCACCGGGUUGAGAGAAAUCUUGAUGGCACUUUCAUUAUCACACCAAAGAGGCACUUUAUCACAAAUGACACCGUACUCCUUUAAAGUUUGCCUCAUCCAUAAGAGUUGAGCACAACUACUACCGGCCGCCACAUAUUUCGCUUCGGUGGACGAGAGAGACACACAACUUUGCUUCUUGGAAGACCAACUCACCAAAGAGGACCCAAGAAAUUGGCACCCUCCGAAAGUGGACUUCCUAUCCACUUUGUCUCCCGCCCAAUCGGAAUUCGUAAAACCUUCAAGCUUGAAGUUUGCUCCUCUCGGAUACCAUAGGCCAAAGUUUGGGGUAUGAGCCAAAUAUCGAAAGAUUCGCUUGACCGCCACAUAGUGGCUUUCCUUUGGUGCGGCUUGAAACCAUGCACACAUUCCCACACUCAACAUGAUAUCCGGUCUAGAUGCACAAAGGUAAAGCAAGGAUCCAAUCAUAGAGCGAUAUAACUUUUGAUCCACCGCUUUACCAUUGGGAUCAAUGUCAAGUUGGCACUUGGUAGGCAUUGGAGUAGAAGCCGGCUUGACAUCACUUAGCUUGAAUCUCUUUAGCAUGUCUUGAGUGUAUUUGGCUUGGUUGAUGAAGGUACCUUCUCUUCUUUGUUUGAUAUCAAAACCAAGGAAGAACUUCAACUCUCCCAUCGAAGAAAUCUUGAACUUAGAGGUCAUGGGAGUGGCAAAUUCCUCAUUGAAAGCUUUGUUAGGGGAACCAAAAAUAAUGUCAUCAACAUAUAGUUGGCACACAAACAACUCCCCUUUGACCUUCUUAGUAAAAAGAGUGGGAUUGAUUUUCCCAACUUCAAAUCCACGAUCUUGUAACAACUCGGUAAGGUGGUCAUACCGCGCACGUAGGGCUUGUUUAAGGCCAUAGAGUGCCUUAUCGAGUUGAUACACAUGAUCCUGUAAGUAAGGAUCCUCGAACCCGGGGGGUUGCUUGACAUAAACCAACUCAUUAAUAGGACCAUUAAGAAAAGCACUUUUCACAUCCAUUUGUUGUAACUUAAAGUUGUGAUGGGAAGCAUAAGCAAUCAAUAAACGAAUGGAUUCAAGGCGAGCAGCGGGAGCAAAGGUUUCACCGUAGUCGAUACCCUCGACUGGGAGUAGCCUUGUGCUACCAAUCUUGCCUUGUUGCGAAUGAUGUUCCCAUGAGCGUCUUGCUUGUUCUUGAAAAUCCACUUGGUUCCAAUGACGUUAUGGUUCCCCGACGGCCGUGGCACCAAUCUCCACACCUUGUUGUACUCGAAGUUGUUGAGUUCUUCAUGCAUGGCAUUGAGCCAAUCUGAAUCUUUGAGCGCCUCAUAGACCUUUUGGGGUUCAACACAAGAGACAAACGCGUGAUGUUCACAAUAGUUUGCUAAUUGUCUACGAGUGCUUACCCCCUUUCUUAGACUUCCAACCACAUUCUCCAUGAGAUGGCCUUUGGUGGUGAGCUUGGAAGCAAUCUUCGCGGCACGACGCUCUAAUUCCUCCUCGGAUGUGGAAGGAGGAGGAUCAACUUGAUUAUCUUGAGAGUUGUCUUGAGCUUGUUCAAGAUCUUGAGCUUGCUCUUGAUCUUGAACUUGCUCGAGGGGGAGAACUUGACCUUGGGCAUCAUUUGGUGGUUCACCACCAUCUUGAGGUUGAUCUUGCCCUUGGUAUUGUUCAUGAGGUUGAGGGCAUUCACUUUGUUCUUCGGAAGUGUGUGGGUCUUGGGGAGGUGAUGGAUCCACUUGAGUGGAGCAUUGUCCUUCUCCUUCGGCCACAAGGGGUUCCUGAAUGGGUAGAAUAUGACCAAUACCCAUUCUUCUUAUGGCUUGGGGAGGAAUUUCAUCACCUACAUCACAAGUACCACUUUGCUCCACUUGGGAGCCGUUAUUUUCGUCAAACUCCAUGUUACAUGUCUCCUCAAUGAGUCUGGUGGACUUGUUGAGGACACGGUAAGCAUGAGAGUUUGUAGCAUAACCAACAAAUAUGCCCUCAUAAGCUCUAGCCUCAAAUUUAGACAAAUGAACACCUUUCUUGAGAAUGAAGCACUUACACCUGAACACCUGGAAGUACUAGAGAUUGGGCUUGUUACCGGUGAGUAUUUCAUAAGGAGUCUUGUUCAAGCCUUUGCAGAGAUAGAGCCGAUUUGAUGCAUGACACGCGGUGUUGAUGGCUUCGGCCCAAAAGUUGUAUGGAGACUUGAACUCCGCCAUCAUGGUCCUUGCCGCAUCCAUCAACGUCCGGUUCUUCCUCUCCGCAACACCAUUUUGUUGAGGGGUGUAUGGAGCGGAAUAUUGAUGCUUGAUCCUCCCAUCACUAAGGAACUCAUCCAAGGUGUAGUUAUUGAACUCAGUGCCGUUGUCACUUCUUAUUGUCAAGAUCUUUGCAUCAUGUUGUCAUUGAGCUUCAUUUGCAAAGUCAAUGACGGUUUGUUGAGUUUCACUCUUCCUCUUGAAGAAAAAUACCCAGGUGUAUCUUGAAUAAUCAUCCACAAUCACCAAGCAAUACUUUCUUCCCCCAAGACUAUCAAAGGAUGGAGGCCCAAAGAGGUCCAUGUGAAGGAGCUCCAAGGGUCUCUUCGAAUAGAUGAUAGUCGUGGGAGGGUGAGCCUUCUCAUGAAGCUUUCCUUCGAUACAAGCACUGCAAGCACGAUCUUUGGCAAAACUAACAUUUGUUAGUCCACGGACAUGGUCCCCUUGAGAAGACUUUGCAACGAUCUCAUAUUGACGUGGGCUAAACGGCGAUGCCAAAGCCAUCCCACAUCAACUUUAGCCAUUAGGCAUGUCACGGUCUUAGUGGGUCGCUCCAAAAAGUUAAUCACAUAGAGACCAUUCUCCACAUGCCCAACAAAGGCUAAUUUAAGAGUCUUGCUCCACAAGAGGGCCACAGUAUCAAUAUCAAAGAAGGUGGCAAAGCCCAUGAGUGCAAGUUGACGAACGGAAAGUAAGUUGUACGCAAGGGACUCAACAAGCAUGACUUUCUCGAUCGUUAGAUCAUGAGAAAUGACAACCUUGCCAAGACCCAAUACCUUAGAAUGUGAGGCAUCACCCCACUCGACAUUGGUGGGCAUAGAUGGGGUCUUUUGCACGUCCACCACCAAGUCCUUGCUCCCGGUCAUAUGAUUUGUUGCUCCACUAUCGAGCAACCAUGAUCCCCCACCGGAAGCAAACACCUACAAGAGAUCAAUGCUUGGUUUUAGGUACCCAUUUAGUAAUGGGUCCUUUGAUGUUAGUAACAAGGGUCUUAGGAACCCAAAUAGACCAUUCAAUGUAUUCAUAAUAAGAACCAACAAAUUUAGCAUAAACAUGCCCAUCACUAGCACGGCACAACACAUAAGAAGGGUUAAAGUCGCCGGAUUUGUUGGAAGAGAUGGCUUUGCCCUUUUUGGCAUCACCACUCUUCGCAUUGUUCUUCUUCUCCUUAGGAGCACCCUCUCCCUCCUUCACAAAAGUUUGCUUAAGCGAGGGAGGUCAUUUGGUCUUGUCAUUCUUCUUCUACUUCUUCUUAUUCUUCUUGGACUUGGGUGAGAACCCAACUCCCUCCUUGGCCACAACUUCCUUUUGAUUGCUCAAAAGGUCAUUUAGGUUCUUCUCACCUUGUAUGCAUGACACAAGGCCUUUCUCGAGUUGUUCCUUCAACUUGGCAUUCUCCUCCACAGGAUGCACAUGCUCACAACACGGGUUAGUAGCAUUUGCGUUAUCAAUUAAGACCAUGUGAGGAAAGGUGGACUUUUCCUUGGUUAGCUUAACUUGGAGUUGAGCAUGAGACUCCUUGAGGUUUGCAUGAGCACCCUUCAAGACCUUGUGGGCCUUGUCAAGUACAUCAAACUCCUCCUUGAGUCUAGCAUGAUCAACCCCAAGUUUAGCCUUCUCGGAAGAUAGCACACGAGACACAACAAUAGCAUGAUCAAGAUCUUUCUUUAAUUUGGCAUGGUCAUCGUUUUGUGACUCCUCAAGAGCCAAAUGAUGCCCACGCUCUUCCUCAAGAGCAUUAGAGAGAUCCGAUAUAUCAUCGGCAUAGUCACGACUAUGACCUUCCAUCUUAGAGAUGGUUUCUUCGUGAGCCUCGAUCAUGUCAUUGGCUUCACCAAGUUGUUCCAAGAGAGCAACAAAGUGCUUCUUGGAUUUGCCCUUGAGCUUACUCAUAAAGGACUCAAAUUCAUUUACUUCCUCAUUAGACCCCUCACUAUCAUCAAUGCCAUCUGUCAAAGAGGGAUUAUAAAUGAUGGUGGUUUUGAUGUUGGGGGUUAACUUCUUGGUGGCUUUAGCCAUGAGGCACUUCGCGGUGAUGUUCUCGUUGGGUGAAUCGAAGAGAGACAUCCGGGGAGUUGUGGCAAUGGCAACGGAUGCCAUGGCCAUUGCUUCACUAUCUUCAUCAUCAUCGUCAUCCUCACGGUAUUCCUCUUGAACCACCAACCCUCGAGUAGGAGUCUUCUUGGUGAAGUUUUUCUUGUUGGGGAAAGACUUGGCUUUGUCUUUCCGGAUGAGCUUGCCACCAUUGUCUUCCCGCUUCUCGUAAGGAAAAUCUGCAACGAAAUGGCUCACAUUGCCACAGUUGUAACAAGUUCUAACUCAUUGCUUGCCCUUGAAGCCACUUGAGUUGUUCUUGUUGAAGUUGGGUCUUGAGUUCUUCUUGCUCCAAAAUUGUCUUGAAGCAAGAGCCAUGUGCUUGUGAUAAUCAUAUUUUGUAUCUUCGGGGUUGCUCUCCUCAUCUUCCUCUUCUUCCUCUUCUUCCACAAUAACCUUGGCCUUCAAGGCAAGGUUGGGCUUCUUUGCCCUUUGAGACCAGAGCACCGCGUUAUCGGCGGUCUUGUCCAAGAUGCUCAUUGCAACGAACUCAUCCAAAACUUCACUUGAGGUCAUGGAGUGGAAGUCCGGUAUUUGACGAAUGACGGAGGACAUGGCCUUGUUGUAGGGCAUCAUGGCCUUGAGGAACUUGUGCUUGAUCCAAUUUUCAUCUGUGUCCUUGCUCCCAUGAUCUCGGAGUGAGACCGCAAGUUUGGUUACUCUCCGAAAGAGCUCACGAGGUUCUUCAUCUCCCUUCAUAGCAAACUCAUCGGCUUCAUCUUGCACCACUUCAUAAUUGGAGCGUUGAAUGCUCACACUUCCCCGAUAGAGACACAACACAAUGCCACGCGUCUUUGGCCACAGCGUAGGGUCGAAGAUGAGAGAGAUCUUCGGGGAGAAUUGAUUCUUGGAUGAUGAAGAGAGCAUUCUCAUUGAAUUGAUUAUCCACGGCUUCUCUAGGGGUGAAGUUGCUUGGGUCAUGUGGAUAGAAACCUUCUUCAAUGAUUCUCCAAAGAUUAGUAUUCACAUGCUUUAAAUGACACUUGAAGCAAUACACCCAAGAAUCAAAAUCCUCAUUUUUCUCAAUCUUAGGAGGAGGACCGGCAUGAUUUAAAUGAGUAGAGGGAAUCAGUCCACCAUAAGUUGGAGGUUCCACAUGGGCAUAGAUGUCGGUGCCAUUUCUACCACUAGUAGAAGGACCCUUUUCACUGUUAGCUUCCCCCUUGUCGGAGGUAGCAUCCGUCACCUUGUUAGUGGGAUCACCCACUUUCAUCGGCGAGGUAGACAGUUUAAGUCCUUCUAGGAAUUUAGUAAACAUGCUUUCAACCUCGGUCGUCAUGGAGUUUUUCAAUGUGUCUAAAGCCACAUUGAAUUCCUCACGAGAGAUCGCGGUUCCCCCAUCGGCCGUAGACGAGGUAGGAUUCACACCAGAGUGCUCCUCCACAACGUCUGUGGUGUCAACCAUACUCUUCAGGCGGCAAAGUCCUUAAUAAAGAGAUGAGGCUUUGAUACCAAAGUUCCUUCCUUUUAAGGGGAAGUACGUCUCCGUUAGAGCGGUGUGGAGGCACAAUGCUCCCCAAGAAGCCACUAGGGCCACCGUAAUCUCCUCACGCCCUCACACAAUGCGAGAUGUCGUGAUUCCACUAUUGGUUCCCUUGAAGGUGGCGACUGAACCUUUACAAACAAGGUUGGGGCAAUCUCCACAACUUAAUUGGAGGCUCCCAACGACACCACGAAGCUUCACGACAAUGAACUAUGGCUCCGAGGUGACCUCAACGUCUAGGGUGCUCAAACGCCCAAGAGUAACAAGAUCCGCUAGGGAUUAGUGGGGGGAAUCAAAUUUCUCUUGGUGGAAGUGUAGAUCGGGGCCUUCUCAACCACUCCCGAGCAAAUCAACAAGUUUGAUUGUCUAGGAAGAGAGAUCAGGCAAAAAUGGAGCUUGGAGCAACAAUGGAGCUUUUGGGGGAAGAGGUAAGUCAACUUUGGGGAAGAAGACACCUUUAUAUAGAGGGGGAAACAAUCCAACUGUUACCCCCCCCCCCCAAGCAGACACGCACACAGCGGUACUACCGCUUGGGCAGCGCGGUACUACCGCUGAACCAGUGGUACUACCGUUCCCUCCCAGUGGUACUGCCGUGCACAUGAGGAUAGCAAAGACCUGGGCCCAGAGCGGUACUACCGCAAAGUAGGGUCGGUGCUACCGCUUGGAGCGGUACUACCGCCACUACUGCCGCUACUAGUACCGCAAAACCUGACACGAAAAACAGUGGUCUCGAGUCGAGGCGGUAGUAGCCCAGAACCACAGUGGUACUGCGGCCAAAGACAGCAAGCGGUACUACCGCGUGACACGCUUCGGCGGUACUACCGCUGAGGACCGCGGUACUACCGCUGGGAUAGGUCAGGCCAGGCAAGGAGAGGAAAGGUAGCUCCAAUGAAGCGGAAAGGAACAGUGGGUGUGAUAAGGAUGUGUACGUGUUGAUUCCACCCUAGCCUUACCAAAGCGGAUCCCCUCUUGAUAGUACGGUGACUCCUACGAAACUAGUCCACCAACAGAGAAACGAAGGAGCUACACCGUCUUGAAUAAAACACCGAGGGGAGGGAAUCGUCUUGUGCCAAAGGAUGAAUCUCUGAAAAGCUCAACGCACACAAUUAGUUCGCAAAAGCAUUGUCAUCAAUCACCAAAACACCUUGGGGAUAAAUAUGCCCUUACAGGUGGCCCCUCCCGGUGGACCCCCGGAACCCCUCCGGUGGCCCCGGUACAAUACCGGUAUGCCCCCGAACAUUUCCGGUGACCGUAUGACAACUUCCCAUAUAUAGAUCUUCACCUCCGGGCCACUCCGGAACUCCUCGUGAUGUCCGGGAUCUCAUCCGGGACUCCGAACAACAUUAGGUAAUCACAUACAAGUCUUCCUAAUAACCCUAGCGUCAUCGAACCUUAAGUGUGUAGACCCUACGGGUUCGGGAAUCACGCAGACAUGACCGAGACAGCUCUCUGGCCAAUAACCACCAGCGGGAUCUGGAUACCCAUGUUUGCUCCCACAUGUUCCACGAUGAUCUCAUCGGAUGAACUAUGAUGUCGAGGAUUCAAGUAAUCCCAUAUACAAUUCCCUUUGUCAAUCGGUACGUUACUUGCCCGAGAUUCGAUCGUUGGUAUCCCAAUACCUCGUUCAAUCUCGUUACCGGCAAGUCACUUUACUCGUUACAUAAUGCAUGAUCCCGUGACUAACCACUUAGUCACAUUGAGCUCAUUAUGAUGAUGCAUUACCAAGUGGGCCCAGAGAUACCUCUCUGUCAUACGGAGUGACAAAUUCCAGUCUCGAUUCAUGCCAACCCAACAUACACUUUCGAAGAUACGUGUAGUGCACCUUUAUAGUCACCCAGUUACGUUGUGACGUUUGGUACACCCAAAGCAAUCCUACGGUAUCCGGGAGUUACACAAUAUCAUGGUCUAAGGAACUGAUACUUGACAUUAGAAAAGCUUUAGCAAACGAACUACACGAUCUUUUGCUAUGCUUAGGAUUGGGUCUUGUCCAUCACAUCAUUCUCCUAAUGAUGUGAUCCUGUUAUCAAUGACAUCCAAUGUCCAUAGUCAGAAAACCAUGACCAUCUGUUGAUCAAUGAGCUAGUCAACUAGAGGCUCACUAGGGACAUGUUGUGGUCUAUGUAUUCACACAUGUAUCACGGUUUCCGAUUAAUACAAUUAUAGCAUGAAUAAUAGACAAUUUCAUGAACAAGGAAAUAUAAUAAUAAUCAUCUUAUUAUUGCCUCUAGGGCAUAUUUCCAACAGUCUCCCACUUGCACUAGAGUCAAUAAUCAAGUUACACUGUGAUGAAUCGAACACCCAUAGAGUUCUGGUGUUGAUCAUGUUUUGCUCGUGGAAGAGGUUUAGUCAAGGAUCUGCGACAUUCAGAUCUGUAUGCACUUUGCAAAUAUCUAUGUCUCCAUCUUGAACAUUUUCACGAAUAGAGUUGAAGCGACGCUUGAUGUGCCUAGUCUUCUUGUGAAACCUGGGCUCCUCGGCAAGGGCAAUAGCUCCAGUGUUGUCACAGAAGAGAGUGAUCGGCCCCGACGCAUUGGGAAUAACUCCUAGGUCAGUGAUGAACUCCUUCAUCCAGAUUGCUUCAUGUGUUGCCUCCGAGGCUGCCAUGUACUCCGCUUCACAUGUAGAUCCCACCACGAUGCUUUGCUUGCUGCUGCACCAGCUUACUGCCCCACCAUUCAAAAUAUACACGUAUCCGGUUUGUGACUUGGAGUCAUCCAGAUCUGUGUCGAAGCUAGCAUCGACGUAACCCUUUAUGACGAACUCUUCUUCACCUCCAUAAACGAGAAACAUAUCCUUAGUCCUUUUCAGGUACUUCAGGAUAUUCUUGACCGUUGUCCAGUGUUCCAUGCCGGGAUUACUUUGGUACCUUGCUACCAAACUUACGGCAAGGUUUACAUCAUUUCUGGUACACAGCAUGGCAUACAUAAUAGACCCUAUGGCCGAGGCAUAGGGGAUGACACUCAUCUUUUCUCUAUCUUUUGUUGUGGUCGAGGAUUGAGCCGAGCUCAAUUUCACACGUUGCAACACAGGCAAGAACCCCUUCUUGGACUGAUCCAUAUUGAACUUCUUCAAUAUCUUAUCAAGCUAUGUGCUUUGUGAAAGACCUAUGAGGCGUCUCGAUCUAUCUCUAUAGAUCUUGAUGCCUAAUAUAUAAGCAGCUUCUCCAAGGUCCUUCAUUGAAAAACACUUAUUCAAGUAGGCCUUUAUGCUGUCCAAAAGUUCGAUAUCAUUUCCCAUCAAAAGUAUGUCAUCCACAUAUAAUAUGAGAAAUGCUACAGAGCUCCCACUCACUUUCUUGUAAACGCAGGUUUCUCCAUAAGUCUGCAUAAACCCAAACGCUUUGAUCAUUUCAUCAAAGCGAAUGUUCCAACUCCGAGAUGCUUGCACCAGCCCAUAAAUGGAUCGUUGGAGCUUGCAUACCUUGUUAGCAUUCUUAGGAUCGACAAAACCUUCCGGCUGCAUCAUAUACAAUUCUUCCUUAAGAUAGCUGUUAAGGAAUGUCAUUUUGACGUCCAUUUGCCAUAUCUCAUAAUCAUAGUAUGCGGCAAUUGCUAACAUGAUUCGGACGGACUUCAGCUUCGCUAUGGGAGAGAAAGUCUCAUCGUAGUCAACCCCUUGAACUUGUCGAUAACCCUUAGCGACAAGUCGAGUUUUAUAGAUGGUAACAUUACCAUCCGCGUCUGUCUUCGUCUUAAAGAUCCAUUUAUUUUCUAUCGCUCGCUGAUCAUCGGGCAAGUCUGUCAAAGUCCAUACUUUUUUUCAUACAUGGAUCCUAUCUCGGAUUGCAUGGCUUCAAGCCAUUUUUUGGAAUCUGGGCCCGCCAUCGCUUCUUCAUAGUUCGAAGGUUCACCAUUGUCUAACAACAUGAUUUCCAGGACAGGGUUGACAUACCAUUCUGGUGUGGAAUGUGUCCUUGUGGACCUACGAAGUUCAGUAGUAACUUGAUCCGAAGUACCUUGAUCAUCAUCAUUAACUUCCUCUCUAGUCGGUGCAGGCACCACGGGAACAUCUUCCUGAGUUGCGCUACUUACCGGUUCAAGAGGUAGUACUUCAUCAAGUUCCAUUUUCCUCCCACUUACUUCUUUCAAGAGAAACUCUUUCUCCAUAAAGGACCCGUUCUUGGCAACAAAAAUCUUGCCUUCGGAUCUGAGGUAGAAGGUAUACCCAAUGGUUUCCUUAGGGUAUCCUAUGAAGACGCAUUUUUCCAACUUGGGUUCGAGCUUUUCAGGUUGAAGUUUCUUGACAUAAGCAUCGCAUCCCCAAACUUUUAGAAACGACAGCAUAGGUUUCUUCCCAAACCAUAAUUCAUACGGUGUCUUCUCAAUGGAUUUAGACGAUGCCCUAUUUAAAGUGAAUGUAGCUGUCUCUAAAGCGUCUCCCUAAAAUGAUAGCGGUAAAUCGGUAAGAGACAUCAUAGACCGCACCAUAUCCAAUAGAGUGCGAUUACGAUGUUUGGACACAUCGUUACGCUGAGGUGUUCCGGGCGGCGUGAGUUGUGAAACAAUUCCACAUUUCCUUAAGUGUGUACCAAACUCGUGACUUAAAUAUUCUCCCCCACAAUCUGAUCGUAAGAACUUUAUUUUUCGGUCACAUUGAUUCUCUACCUCAUUCUGAAAUUCCUUGAACUUUUCAAAGCUCUCGGACUUGUGUUUCAUUAAGUAGACAUAUCGAUAUCUACUUAAGUCAUCAGUAAGGGUGAGAACAUAAUGAUAGCCACUGCGAGCCUCAACGCUCAUUGGACCACACACAUCAGUAUGUAUGAUUUCUAAUAAGUUGGUUGCUCGCUCCAUUGUUCCGAAGAACGGAGUCUUGGUCAUUUUGCCCAUGAGGCAUGGUUCGCACGUGUCAAAUGAUUCAUAAUCAAGAGACUCCAAAAGUCCAUCUGCAUGGAGCUUCUUCAUGCGUUUGACACCAAUGUGACCAAGGCAGCAGUGCCACAGGUAUGUAGGACUAUCAUUAUCAAUCUUACAUCUUUUGGUAUUCACACUAUGAAUAUGUGUAACAUCACGUUCGAGAUUCAUUAAGAAUAAACCAUUGACCAGCGGGGCAUGACCAUAAAACAUAUCUCUCAUAUAAAUAGAACAAGCAUUAUUCUCAGAUUUAAAUGAGUAGCCAUCUCGUAUUAAACGAGAUCCAGAUACAAUGUUCAUGCUCAAAGCUGGUACUAAAUAACAAUUAUUGAGGUUUAAAACUAAUCCCGUAGGUAAAUGUAGAGGUAGCAUGCCGACGGCGAUCACAUCGACCUUGGAACCAUUCCCGACGCGCAUCAUUAGCUCGUCCUUCACUAGUCUCCACUUAUUCUGCAUCUCCUGUUUUGAGUUACAAAUAUGAGCAACCGCACUGGUAUCAAAUACCCAGGAGCUACUACGAGUAUUGGUAAGGUACACAUCAAUAACAUGUAUAUCACAUAUACCUUUGGUGUUUCCGGCCUUCUUAUCCGCUAAGUACUUGGGGCAGUUCCGCUUCCAGUGACCGUUUCCCUUGCAAUAAAAGCACUCAAUCUUAGGUUUGGGUCCGUGCUUUGGCUUCUUCCCGGCAACUGGCUUACCGGGCGCGGCAACUCCCUUGCCGUCCUUCUUGAAGUUCUUCUUACCCUUGCCUUUCUUGAAACUAGUGAUUUUAUUGACCAUCAACACUUGAUGUUCCUUUUUGAUUUCUACCUCCGCUGAUUUCAGCAUUGAAAAUACCUCAGGAAUGGUUUUCACCAUCCCCUGCAUAUUGUAGUUCAUCACAAAGCUCUUGUAGCUAGGUGGGAGCGAUUGAAGGAUUCUGUCAAUGACCGCCUCAUCCGGGAGGUUAAUGUCCAGUCGAGACAAGCGGUUGUGCAACCCAGACAUUUUGACUAUGUGCUCGCUGACAGAACUAUUUUCCUCCAUCUUACAACUGUAGAACUUGUCGGAGACUUCAUAUCUCUCGACCCAGGCAUGAGCUUGGAAAACCAUUUUCAGCUCUUGGAACAUCUCAUAUGCUAUGUGCUGCUCGAAACGUUUUUGGAGCCCCGGUUCUAAGCUGUAAAGCAUGCCGCACUGAACGAGGGAGUAAUCAUCAACACGUGACUGUCAGGCGUUCAUAACGUCUGCAUUCGCCGGGACGGGUGCUUCACCUAGCCGUGUUUCUAGGACAUAUGCUCUCUUGGCAGCUAUGAGGAUGAUCCUCAGGUUCUGGACCCAGUCCGUAUAGUUGCUACCAUCUUCUUUCAGCUUGGUUUUCUCUAGGAACGCGUUGAAGUUGAGGUUGACAUGAGAGUGGGCCAUUUGAUCUACAAGACAUUUUGCAAAAGUUUUUGGACUAAGUUCAUGAUAAUUAAGUCCAUCUAAUCAAAUUAUUUAAUGAACUCCCACUCAGAUAGACAUCCCUCUAGUCAUCUAAGUGAUACAUGAUCCGAGUCAACUAGGCCGUGUCCGAUCAUCACGUGAGACGGACUAGUCAUCAUCGGUAAACAUCUUCAUGUUGAUCGUAUCUUCUAUACGACUCAUGUUCAACCUUUCGGUCUCUUGUGUUCCGAGGCCAUGUCUGUACAUGCUAGGCUCGUCAAGUCAACCUAAGUGUUUUGCAUGUGUAAAUCUGGCUUACACCCGUUGUAUGUGAACGUUAGGAUCUAUCACACCCGAUCAUCACAUGGUGCUUCGAAACAACGAACUUUCGCAAUGGUGCACAAUUAGAGGAAACACUUUCUUGAAAUUAUUAUGAAGGAUCAUCUUAUUUACUACCAUCGUUCUAAACAAAUAAGAUGCAAAAACAUGAUAAACAUCACAUGCAAUCAAAUAGUGACAUGAUAUGGCCAAUAUCAUUUUGCUCCUUUUGAUCUCCAUCUUCGGGGCGCCAUGAUCAUCAUCGUCACCGGCAUGACACCAUGAUCUCCAUCAUCGUGUCUCCAUGAAGUUGUCUCGCCAACUAUUACUUCUACUACUAUGGCUAACGGUUUAGGCAAAAAGUAUAGUAAUUACAUGGCAUUAUUCAGUGAAACGCAGGUCAUACAAUAAAUAAAGACAACUCAUAUGGCUCCUGCCGGUUGUCAUACUCAUCGACAUGCAAGUCGUGAUUCCUAUUACAAGAACAUGAUCAAUCUCAUACAUCACAUAUAUUUCAUUCAUCACAUCAUUUUGGCCAUAUCACAUCACAAGGCAUAUGCUACAAAAACAAGUUAGACGUCCUCUAAUUGUUGUUGCAUGUUUUUACGUGGCUGCUAUAGGGUUCUAGCAAGAACGUUUCUUACCUACGCCAAAACCACAACGUGAUAUGCCAAUUUCUAUUUACCCUUCAUAAGGACCCUUUUCAUAGAAUCUGAUCCGACUAAGGUGGGAGAGACAGACACCCCCUAGCCACCUUAUGCAACUAGUGCAUGUCAGUCGGUGGAACAUGUCUCACGUAAGCGUAUGUGUAAGGUCGGUCUGGGCCCUUCAUCCCACGAUGCCGUCGAAACAAGGUAAGACUAGUAGUGGCAAGUAAAUUGACAAAAUCUACGCCCACAACAAACUUGUGUUCUACUCGUGCAUAGAAACUACGCAUAGACCUAGCUCAUGAUGCCACUGUUGGGGAUCAUUGCAGAAAUUAAAAAAAAUCUACGCAUCACCAAGAUCAAUCUAUGGAGUGACUAGCAAUGAGAGAGAGGGGAGUGCAUCUUCAUACCCUUGAAGACCGCGAGACGGAAGUGUUACAAGAACGCGGAUGAGGGAGUCGUACUCGAAGCGAUUCAGAUCGCGGUAGAUUCUGAUAUUAGCGCCGAACAACGGCACCUCCGCGUUCAACACACGUGCAGCCCGGUGACGUCUCCCGCGCCUUGAUCCAGCAAGGAGGAGGGAGAGGUUGAGGAAGAGGGCUCCAACAGCAGCACGACGGCGUAGUGGUGAUGGAGUGGCAGUACUCCGGCAGGGCUUCGCCAAGCUCUUGCGAAGGAGGAGAGGUGUUGGGGAGGGGAGGGGUUGUGCCUUGGAUGUGGUGCUGCAGCCCUCCCCUCGCCCCUCUAUUUAUAGGAGAAGGGGGGAGGUAGGCCGGCCCCCUCUAGAUGAGAUCUAGAGGGGGGCAAGGGGAGGGGGCUUGCCCCACAAGCAAAGGGGGCGCCCCCUUUAGCCCCCCCCCCCCAACCCUAGGCGCAUGGGCCCAAAGGGGGGGUGCCCAGCCCUCCAAGGGCUGGUUCCCUUCCCUCUACAGCCCAUGAGGCUCCGGGAGAGGUGGCCCCUCCCGGUGGACCCUCGGAACCCCUCCGGUGGCCCCGGCACAAUACCGGUAUGCCCUCGAACAUUUCCGGUGACCGUAUGACAACUUCCCAUAUAUAAAUCUUCACCUCCGGACCAUUCCGGAACUCCUCAUGAUGUCCGGGAUCUCAUUCGGGACUCCGAAAAACAUUCGGUAAUCACAUACAAGUCUUCCUAAUAACCCUAGUGUCAUCGAACCUUAAGUGUGUAGACCCUACGGGUUCGGUAAUCACGCAGACAUGACCGAGACAACUCUCUGGCCAAUAACCAACAACGGGAUCUGGAUACCCAUGUUGGCUCCCACAUGUUCCAUGAUGAUCUCAUCGGAUGAACCACGAUGUCGAGGAUUCAAGUAAACACGUAUACAAUUCUCUUUGUCAAUCGGUACGUUACUUGCCCGAGAUUCGAUCGUCGGUAUCCCAAUACCUCGUUCAAUCUCGUUACUGACAAGUCACUUUACUCAUUACAUAAUGCAUAUCCCGUGACUAACCACUUAGUCACAUUGAGCUCAUUAUGAUGAUGCAUUACCGAGUGGGCCCAGAGAUACCUCUCCGUCAUACGGAGUGACAAAUUCCAGUCUCGAUUCAUGCCAACCCAACAGACACUUUCGGAGAUACCUGUAGUGCACCUUUAUAGUCACCCAGUUACGUUGUGACGUUUGGUACACCCAAAGCAAUCCUACAGUAUCCGGGAGUUACACAAUCUCAUGGUCUAAGGAACUGAUACUUGACAUUAGAAAAGCUUUAGCAAACGAACUACACGAUCUUGUGCUAUGCUUAGGAUUGGGUCUUGUCCAUCACAUCAUUCUCCUAAUGAUGUGAUCCCGUUAUCAAUGACAUCUAAUGUCCAUAGUCAGAAAACCAUGACCAUCUGUUGAUCAACGAGCUAGUCAACUAGAGGCUCACUAGGACAUGUUGUGGUCUAUGUAUUCACACAUGUAUCACGGUUUCCGAUUAAUACAAUUAUAGCAUGAAUAAUAGACAAUUAUCAUGAACAAGGAAAUAUAAUAAUAAUCAUUUUAUUAUUGCCUCUAGGGCAUAUUUCCAACAACAAGUUCUUGGGAGUGGUUUCUCACUACAUUGAGAGAUGACCUUAACAUCACAAAUACUACUCCUUUCACUAUUAUGAGUGACAAGCAGAACUGUUUGAUCAAUGAUGUGCAAAAAAUCUGGCCAGAUGCUGAGCAUAGGUUUUGUGUUAGGCAUAUUUAUCAGAAUUUCAAUAAGAAGCACAAAUGAGAGUUGCUGAAGCAAGAUAUGUGGGUCAUUGCAAGAGCACCAAACAGGGUGAAGUGGAUCCAAAACUAUGAGAAAAUGGAUGGACAUAGUGCAGUUGCCUUCCACUUGACUGAAAGACUUGAUCCAAAGACAUGGUGUAAAGCAUUUUCUAGUGUCUUUUCCAAGUGUGAUAUUCUGUUGAACAAUAACUCUGAAGUAUUUAACAGGUAAAUCAUUUGCAACAGUUUGUGAAGUACGUACCUCUUCCUAUGCAUUAAUUUUGUUAUAUUGUUGCAACAUUCUAUGACAUGAUACUAAUCAGUAAUGGUGCAACAUUUGUUGCAACUACAUUCUGGAGGACAGAGAGAUGGCAGUAUUGUCAAUGCUGGAAUACAUUUUUUACAAGAUCAUGCAAAGGCUAGUGAGUAAACAGAGAGAGGCCAUAGAGAAGUGGGCAGGGCAGAGAAUAUGCCCAAAGAUCAAGAAGAAACUAGACAAGAACACUGAGUUUGCUACUAAUUGCCAUGUCUUAGAAGCUGUCCAACAAUUGUUUAGAGUUCAGUCUGGUAACUCUAGUUAUACAGUUGACUUGUGCUUGCACACUUGUGACUGCAGGAGAUGGCAGCUGUCUGGAGUACCAUGUGGCCAUAGUAUAGCAUGCUGCAGGGAGGAGAGAAUUGACCCCGAGACAAUGGUUCAUGACUGCUACACUUUGGAGAAUUAUCUAAAAGCAUAUGGAUACACUCUGGUUCCACUUAGAGAUCCAAAGCAUUGGGAGAAACAGAAUGGUUACAAAGUAUAUCCACCAGUUUUCACUAAACGGUUGGGAAGGCCAAAGAAAAACAAGAAGAAAACACCAGAAGAGAAGAGAAGUAAGAAUGGUGUUAGAUAUUUGAACAAAAAAAGGUGUGACAAUGCACUGCUCAAUUUGUGGCAGAGCUGACCACAACAGGAAGGGGCACUACAGAUUGUAGGAAGCACUAAUUGCAGAAGAUAGAGCUUGUUGAUGAGAACUAUGAUGACCCAACAUUCUUCAGUUAUGCUUCAGUUGCAUCUUAUUUUUUAUAGUUGGCUCUACUGCAUGAAAUGUGGUUAAUUGCCUAAAUUUAGCUUUUCUUUUCUUUGCAGAACAUCUUUCCGAACAGGCCAGAUCCUAGGUUGGAUCCUAGUGAGUCACCAACCAGUAUGGUUCUAACAUGGCCAGCAGGGAAAGAGCAAGAAGAGCACCUCAAAGGGUCCAUGGCCCACUGCCUGAGCUCUCUUCAUUUGUUGUUGCUGUUGGGGCUGAAAUAGGAUAACCCAGGGUCACUACAGAAAUGAAUAUUGCUAGGCAGACAAGGGCAAGAACUGAAGCUGACAGUGGAAGAGGAAAGAAAAGGAGAGGCAGAGGAGAGGGAAAUCCAAGUGCAAGAAGAGGAAGGGGAGCAAGUGCAGUCUCAGCUCCAGGAAGAGGUGCCAGUGCAGAUGCAGCUCCAGGAAGAGGGAGAGGAGCAAAUGCAGAAGCUGGGAGAGGGAGAGGUGCAAAUGAUGGCAGGCGACGAGGCCGGGAACGGUGGUGGCGCCGGCGAUGGCGGGGGUGGAGGGCGGAGGGAGGGCGGGGCAAGAGGAAAUUGGUUGUGUCCCCGACGGGCGGGGCGGGGGGACAAAGGCACGUGUGUCCGUUUGGACACAAACACGGUCUGAAAUGGGUUGAAACUGGACUGAAAACGGAUAUUGGUCCAUUUGUUCCCGCGCGUUGGACCGCGUUUUCUAUUGUUUACCCCAAACGAACGCGGCCGAACCAUUUGGGGUCGUGCGUUGGAGUUGGCCUGACUGACUUGGUAUCCCAUCGAGACAUUGGAGGCGGGUACGGGGGUCCGGAAACUGCACAUCAAAUACGACUCGCUAGGAUAGGAUGUGCAGCACUGCAACUGCAAGUACUACUGAAAAUCACUAACCCCAAGAACUUGAUGAGUCUUGGCAGCAGCUUUCCAUCGUUUUCCGUUCUUUCCACUCCAGAAGGCACUCGGCAGCAUCUUUGAGAGACCAUCCCAUCCAGACCAAAAGUCACCACCAAACAGUGCCACUCUAUCCGUAACAAUAAUCCACAUUUAUUCGUUUCCUAGGAGUGGACUGUUUUUAUGGCAUGCUGGAAAAGUCAGGGGCCGUCGCCCUCAGAUUCACCUACGACUACGGACUACGGCCGAGGGUCGCUCCUGGGCGGCAACCAACUCGUCCAGAACAGAACCCCAGCGCCAAAGCCUCUCACGAUCAGGUGCUUUUCUUCUACUUUUCCUUUGGUCAAUUCUGAAGGUUCGAAGUUCCAACAUGACUGCGACCCGGGGAUGAUUAAGAAAAUUUACUAGUAACAGAGUAGGGUGAUUAAGAUGGUUUGCUGUGCGUCGCGUCGUGCCGUCGUCGACAGGUGGUGGCAAGUACGUAGUACGUACGUACCACCAGAUGCUAGGAGAUUCCUUUGGUUGCACUUUGUUUUUCUAGACUACUAGAAGACGAUGACGCGUGUCCGUUCUUGCCAGCGGCGUUUUUCUAACCGUGUUCAAUGGCCCGUGUCAGAAUUGUUUUGUUGCGUGGUCAAUGGUCGAAGUAACAGUUCAGAAUUGUUUUGCUGCGUGGUCAAUGGUCGAAACAACAGUUUUUCUACUCUGCUGGAGGAGCACAUAUGUUCCUUUGGUUAAAGAAGAGAGAGUGGCAGGGGGGCUGCCGGAAUGUUCCUGAUGUGGAUGGACAGACAUAAAGGAGAGAUGAGCAUCGUCGUCGACCGUCGUCUUUAAUCUGGAACCCUGAAAAAGCAUCUCGUCAAGCGCGUUCCCAUUGUUUCACAAAGACUUUUCCACCUCCAGAAACCAAGCUAUUUUGUUUUUCCAAGGCGACAUGGGAUGGGAUGGGCGCGCGGGAGACACGAAGAGGAUUUGGCGCCCUGCAAAAUUUGAAGCGUGGUCCUGCACUGCUCCCUCCCUCCGCAACCGAUUCAGAGCGAGCGAGCAGGCGUCCCUCCCGCGAUCUCCCCCGAUCAGCCAUCACAUGGGCGCAGGGGGUCCAGACUCCGGAGGCAACAUGUGACCCGCCACCGUCGUUUACCCGCGAGAACUGGGAUCCUCGACGAUCUGGGGAGGGCACGGCCAAAAUUGCAGGUGGCCCAGCCUACCAGAACCAUUGAAACCCACCCUGACAUCGGUCAGUUCCGUGCACAGCACAAACACGUACGCACGCACGCUGCUAUGCUAGGGUCCUAGCGCUGUCGCGUCCACGAUGAACCAACCAGGAUGCCGGUUUUCGUUGAGCGCUUGCCAUCUACUUCCUCCGUUCCGAAUUACUUGUCGCACGUAUAGAUGUAUUUUAAUUCUAGAUACAUCCAUUUCAGCGACGGGUAAUUUGAAACGGAGGGAGUACCAGGGCCAACAAAUCGUACCGGCUGCUACGACGGGAUUGGGUCAUCUAGACAGCAACUACACUAGAUAUCUUUGAAUCAUAAUCAUCAUCAAGCGUGUACAGAACCACUGGUUUUGCUCUCUCGAUCGAUGGAUCCCAUCCCAACAUGGAUGUACCUCCCAACUGUUAAUCAACAAUGAGAAGCAAUGAUGAGGAGCAGGCAAGUCGCUACGCUCAUCAGGCGAAAUUCAAUUCAGUUUCCCUCCCUGUCAAAACAGUCUCACUCGCCCCGCCGAAAGCCGAAAGCCGUGCCACCCGACCCGGCUCGAGACGGACACACCACGCAGUAGCUUUCAACAACAAAUGGAGCCAUCCAGGGCACCAUGCAUGACCCACACACACAGCCAAACUGGACAUGCCCAUCGGCAACAACUGGAUCCACAGGACAGACACCAGGCAGGUAAACUCACCAAUGGUUUUGGCCAACGAGUUCCGGGCAAUUUGAUCGGGCUGAGUAAUUACAUGGGGACAGCUAAAGAACCAACCUAAUCAGCUAGAACAAUAGCUAGACGAAUCAAGCAAUCGCACAGUCGGGCAUGCAUGCAUUCCAUCCCUAAACACCACCACCACGCAAUCACCCACCACACAACAGACACAGUCAGUCAACAACACCAAGACGACGACGACGACGACAACGAAUCCGAUGUUCGCUAAAAGGAAGAGAUGAGAAAACAGCCGGCUCCGCCGUCGAAGAAGAAGAUAGACAGCAUUCGUCAGGUCUAUGAACGGAAUGAAUGUGGGCUGCAGCGACGAGCACAGCCGGCUCCUUUCUCUUGGGCCAUUUGAGAUCAC
This 26186-nucleotide long non-coding RNA is filed under the name Triticum aestivum (bread wheat). Its description in RNAcentral is "long non-coding RNA (TAES_LNC002746)". Lineage: Eukaryota; Viridiplantae; Streptophyta; Magnoliopsida; Poales; Poaceae. The record is from RNAcentral.